Molecule: long non-coding RNA, 986 nt
Organism: Lynx canadensis (Canada lynx)
Lineage: Eukaryota; Metazoa; Chordata; Mammalia; Carnivora; Felidae
Exons: 2
Source: RefSeq, a predicted model, not a curated record
UCAGCGCAGAGCCCGACACGGGGCUCGAUCCCACAAACCUGUGAGAUCCUGACAUGAGCUGAAACCAAGAACAUGCUCAGGAACUUCCAAGAGUGUUGACGACGCCACCCGGCAAAGCCUCCCGCUGACGCAGAGCCGUGGGCCUCUGCCCUCAGUGACUCCGAGGGGGACGAAUGGACCCUAAGGAAGGUGGCGGCCCUGGUCUGCCAGAGUGAGGGGGUCUCUGGGGCCUGACUGGGGACGUGCCGGUGGGUGGAUAUCAACGUCAGCCACCACUACUGACGCAAGUGGGGCUGGGAGCCGGCCGCCCGAGGAGGGAUGAGCUGUUACGCGCCCGCCGUGUCAGUACAGCUCAGCAGGAUCCGGUGAGCGCCACGGGGCCCCAGCGGAAGUCACACCCAGCCCCGCCAGAUGCAGUAAAGCUCUCUAUGGACCAUUUUUAUAAGCAGAUUGCGUCUGGAGAGAAUAGGUGUCCCCCCCCCCAAGGCCGCAGAGCCCACCAGAACAGUACAUCAGCUCCCUGGAUGGCCCGUGGAGGAAGACAGUCGUAGCUGAUGUGCACAGCCGCUCACAGCCGGCUUCCUCGGCUCUGACGACUUCACGCCAGCCCUCACCUCACCGCACUGACGUGGCGCUUACCUGUUGGUGUUUCCCACUGUCCGUAAUCCUCCUGACAGCAGGGACUGCCUUCGCUCGGCGUCCCCUCACCCGGCACCACGCCUGGCUUGAUUAGGAGCUCGGAUGGUGUUUGAACAUCAGUGUGGAACGUCACGAGCAUCCUCACGCCUCCUGCCUUCAUCUUCCUCCCCCCCCCCCCCCCCCCCCGCCACGGACGCUGACACAGGGAGGGGCGCGUGGCAUUCACUGCCUUAAUGUACCCAAGCCUCCCUCCCCACAGCUGUAAAAUGGGAGUGAUGGGGAGGGAGAUCUCUUAGCCCAGAGCCUGGCACAGAAUAGGCGCUUAAUAAAUAACGUCUGUAAAAGUC